GGCUUGCGACACAUUAGUUAGUUGGCAGGGUAAAGGCCUACCAAGACUAUGAUGUGUAGCUGGACUGAGAGGUUGAACAGCCACAUUGGGACUGAGACACGGCCCAAACUCCUACGGGAGGCAGCAGUAGGGAAUUUUCGGCAAUGGAGGAAACUCUGACCGAGCAACGCCGCGUGAACGAUGAAGUACCUCGGUAUGUAAAGUUCUUUUAUUAAGGAAGAAAAAAGAGUGGAAAAACUCCCUUGACAGUACUUAAUGAAUAAGCCCCGGCUAAUUAUGUGCCAGCAGCCGCGGUAAUACAUAAGGGGCGAGCGUUAUCCAGAAUUAUUGGGCGUAAAGGGUGCGUAGGCGGUUUAAUAAGUCUAUAGUUUAAUUUCAGUGCUUAACGCUGUUGUGCUAUAGAAACUGUUUUACUAGAGUGAGUUAGAGGCAAGCGGAAUUCCAUGUGUAGCGGUAAAAUGCGUAAAUAUAUGGAGGGACACCAGAGGCGUAGGCGGCUUGCUGGGACUUUACUGACGCUGAGGCACGAAAGCGCGGGGAGCAAACAGGAUUAGAUACCCUGGUAGUCCACGCCGUAAACGAUGAGUACUAAGUGUCGGGUAAAACCGGUACUGAAGUUAACACAUUAAGUACUCCGCCUGAGUAGUACGUACGCAAGUAUGAAACUUAAAGGAAUUGACGGGAUUCCGCACAAGCGGUGGAUCAUGUUGUUUAAUUCGAAGAUACACGAAAAACCUUACCAGGUCUUGACAUUUUCUUGCGAGGUUAUAGAAAUAUAAUGGAGGUUAUCAGGAAAACAGGUGGUGCAUGGUUGUCGUCAGCUCGUGUCGUGAGAUGUUAGGUUAAGUCCUAAAACGAGCGCAACCCUUGUCGUUAAUUGCCAGCAUGUAAUGAUGGGGACUUUAACGAGACUGCCAAUGUAAAAUUGGAGGAAGGUGGGGAUUACGUCAAAUCAUCAUGCCCCUUAUGAUCUGGGCUACAAACGUGAUACAAUGGUUGAUACAAAGAGUAGCUGAAACGCGAG
This 1024-nucleotide ribosomal RNA is filed under the name 'Atanus nitidus' phytoplasma. RNAcentral describes it as "bacterial SSU rRNA". It matches the Rfam family "Bacterial small subunit ribosomal RNA", at positions 228 to 1261 of the family's 1533-position model. Lineage: Bacteria; Bacillati; Mycoplasmatota; Mollicutes; Acholeplasmatales; Acholeplasmataceae. The record is from RNAcentral.